Long non-coding RNA from Anopheles arabiensis, 968 nucleotides. RefSeq lists it as uncharacterized. The record is from RefSeq and is a predicted model, not a curated record. Lineage: Eukaryota; Metazoa; Arthropoda; Insecta; Diptera; Culicidae. The transcript has 3 exons.
GGAGAAACGCGCUGCGAUGAGAGUUCGCAUUCUGUUUUACACCCCGCUUGGCAAAGAGUAACUUAUUUUGAUUCCUCUGGCUACCCCUGGCCAUAGCUUUGAAGGAAUCAUGCGACACACUCGCACUCCACUACUCCAUCCUAUGGAAAAACGCUCCCACCAUCGAGGUGUUGACCAAAAUUUCGCUGUGUGCAUGAGACACACACUCGCACUCCUCCACCCCUCCAUAGCCGAUCGCUCCCACCGUUGCGAAUUGGCGAGAAUUUUUGCUCUGAGCGUGAGACCCUGAAGCGCAAGAGAUGACACUAUGUGUAAAGACGAUCAUAAUUCGAUAUGGUCAAAAUGCAUCGAUAAUUGUUUCAUUUAUCUGGUAAUGUUUUCACUUCAUCAAAAUUUUAAACAUUAACAACUAGGCUGAUAACAAUAGUUGAAAUGUAAAUCAGAAUAAAAUCAAUUCAUUUGAAGUAAAAUAAAUUCCAUUAUACUUUAUUUUGACCAUAUGAUCAUAACUUGUACAUAGUGCCAUUUACUUUGUGUUCUUCACUCUCGCGUUGUGUUUUGAUCGUUCGAAACUCAUUGCCAGAACGAAUGCAAAUUUCAUUUGGGAAGGAUCGGUGCCGGAAGAUGCAGUGAAAAUUAUAAAAUGUUUAUAGAAAAGUGGUUAAGUAAAUCGUGAAAGAUGUCAACGCAGGCGUAAAUGCAGUUUGUUUUGUUACUUGAUCUACGGCAAUUUCAUUACCAAAGCACCUGAUAACCGAUCAAAGAAGGUGAAUCGGGCUUACAGAGUCGCCGUUUAACUUCAGAUAUCUUCGUGAUUGGUAAACGCAUCAAACAGCAAGUGUUUUUCUUCCAACAGCACGCGCCAUCGGCGGAGCAAGCAGCCAACGUUUCGUUCGUCUAGCACGCACCAUCAAGAAUUGAAAUAUUCCCGAAUAGCUCUGUGAAUAAAAAACUGCACACUUACUGUC